GAUGAACGCUGGCGGCGUGCCUAACACAUGCAAGUCGAACGAAGCGUCUUAAAGGAAGUUUUCGGAUGGAAUUUGGGAUGACUGAGUGGCGGACGGGUGAGUAACGCGUGGAUAACCUGCCUCAUACAGGGGGAUAACAGCUAGAAAUGGCUGCUAAUACCGCAUAAGCGCACAGUGCCGCAUGGCAGUGUGUGAAAAACUCCGGUGGUAUGAGAUGGAUCCGCGUCUGAUUAGCCAGUUGGUGGGGUAACGGCCCACCAAAGCGACGAUCAGUAGCCGGGUUGAGAGACCGACCGGCCAGAUUGGGACUGAGACACGGCCCAG
This 324-nucleotide ribosomal RNA is filed under the name uncultured bacterium. Its description in RNAcentral is "bacterial SSU rRNA". It matches the Rfam family "Bacterial small subunit ribosomal RNA", at positions 28 to 334 of the family's 1533-position model. The record is from RNAcentral.